GGGAGGCUUCGAGCGAGGAGGAUGCAGGAAUGCAGCCCUAGCCGCCCGCCCGGGCCAGAACUCCGCUGGCUCCUCCAGCCCUUGCCGCCCGCCCGGCUCCUUGAUCCGCUGCAGCUGAGCACCGCCGCCGCCCUGGCUUCCUGCAGGGCCACGAGCUGGGGGGUCAGUCUCCGAGGUUCUGUGCCACACAGCUACUAGUUUAAAUGAGGAAAAUUAAGUAAACCUUGCCCUGAGUAGAUUAAGAUGAGCCUUCAAAGUGUGUGAGCUCUCUUGUGGCCUUGCUGGGGGCUCUGGCAAUGGCCUAAGUGCUGGGCAGCACGGAAAAUAAGAAAAAUCAGAGUGCCCAGAAGAACUCACAGCAGAGCUGGAAAGAAAGGAGUAGAGCAGGCCAGGGGCAUUCUCUUCCAUUGCUGGGUGUUGCUGGACAGUGCCUGAAGGAAUCUGGCUCAGAAGACCACUGGCACAAAGGACUAGUUUUUCAAUGUCCACGUCCUAUAUCCUUCUUUGGGGUCCAUUACAGUGUCCUCCAUGAAGUGUUAACGUCAUUUCAGAAUCCCAAGCCUUUAAUCACUUGGUAAGGACUGGAGAAAGUCCGUGGAAAGUUCACACAGCACCAGAGCAAAUAGACUUUAACAGAGCUACCUUCAGGAUGACAGUUACAAAAACAUUUGGAGCUAGAGACGUAGCUCAGUCAUGGAAUUCUUGCUGCUACACAGGAAGAAACGGGUCUAUCAAUUAUGAAUGUCUUCAUGCGCAAGGCGGUGGCAGAGCAGCGGGAGAACCAAACUCUUUCAUACUGCCAAGGGAAAUCUGGAGAAAGGCAUAAGUUUCUUUUCAGAUGGAAAAGGGAACAUGUUAGACUCCUGGGCUGCUACUGUUUGAAGAGUGUAGACUAAAAUCUGGAAGAGCUCGUGUAUUUCGGCUGUGAAGCACUGUUCCUGAAUGUUCAUCUUGUGAAAGUCGCUUGGCCACGGACAGUAAACUCUCACAGGUCACUGAAGCCAGAAAGAGUUGAAGAAAUGACUGGAUGUUGUUUCUGCCAGGAUUACAGGUCCCAGGGACCACACUGAGGCUACCAAGCUCUGAAGAGAUCACCUUGCUGGCUGAGCCCUUCAUCUCACCAGGCCCUUUAGACCUACUGACAAAAUAAAAUGCAUAUUUGCUAUUGUUUGGAUGA
This is a long non-coding RNA of Mus musculus (house mouse), 1177 nucleotides long. RefSeq annotates it as predicted gene, 36183. Lineage: Eukaryota; Metazoa; Chordata; Mammalia; Rodentia; Muridae. The transcript has 7 exons. The record is from RefSeq and is marked validated.